GACGAACGCUGGCGGCGUGCUUAACACAUGCAAGUCGAACGGUGAAGCGCCUUCCUUUUUGGUGGGUGUGGAUGAGUGGCGAACGGGUGAGUAACACGUGAGUAACCUGCCCCCUUCUUCUGGAUAACCGCAUGAAAGUGUGGCUAAUACGGGAUAUUCUGGGUCUGUCGCAUGAUGGGUCUGGGAAAGAUAUUGUUUCGGUGGGGGAUGGGCUCGCGGCCUAUCAGCUUGUUGGGGGGGUGAUGGCCUACCAAGGCGGUGACGGGUAGCCGGCCUGAGAGGGUGGACGGUUCCACUGGGACUGAGACACGGCCCAGACUCCUACGGGAGGCAGCAGUGGGGAAUAUUGCACAAUGGGCGCAAGCCUGAUGCAGCGACGCCGCGUGAGGGAUGGAGGCCUUCGGGUUGUGAACCUCUUUCGCCAGUGAAGCAGGCCUGCCUCGUUUGUGGGUGGGUUGACGGUAGCUGGAUAAGAAGCGCCGGCUAACUACGUG
This 494-nucleotide ribosomal RNA is filed under the name uncultured bacterium. RNAcentral's name for it is "partial 16S ribosomal RNA". It matches the Rfam family "Bacterial small subunit ribosomal RNA", at positions 28 to 507 of the family's 1533-position model. The record is from RNAcentral.